CUCCUUGUGGUGUAGUUGGCUAUCACGUCGGGCUGUAAUUGAAUCAAAUUCAUUACCUGAAGGUCACCAGUUCAAUUCUGGUCGGGGAGA
Molecule: non-coding RNA, 90 nt
Organism: Stachybotrys elegans
Lineage: Eukaryota; Fungi; Ascomycota; Sordariomycetes; Hypocreales; Stachybotryaceae
Source: the annotation of a GenBank genome assembly